GUCGUGUCGUCUGUGUGAUUUACAUCCCGCAGCUGAUGGAGACACCACCAUACUCCAUGGAAGGUCCUUCCUGUCCGAUCUGUCCAAGGUCAGUGGAAGGGAUGAAUUCAUCAUAGGCACUUGUAGUAGAACAUCUCCUUGAGCCUCAAAGAGAAGGCUAUUUUUCCUGUGGGUCAUCUUUGUGCUGUGCAUGGGAGGUCCUGCCCCAUGGGGCAAGAAAAGGAACAAGCAGCAAAUGUGUGGAAGUACUCAGGAAGAAGGCAGAAGCCCUAAUGAUGCGAUCUGAGGACCACGUUGGACACGUGAAGCCAGAUGCAGUGAAAAGUUG
This 328-nucleotide long non-coding RNA is filed under the name Homo sapiens (human). RNAcentral describes it as "HSALNT0159073". The record is from RNAcentral. Lineage: Eukaryota; Metazoa; Chordata; Mammalia; Primates; Hominidae.